RNAcentral lists this long non-coding RNA (846 nucleotides) under Phasianus colchicus (ring-necked pheasant). Its description in RNAcentral is "lncRNA (ENSPCLG00000017466.1)". The record is from RNAcentral. Lineage: Eukaryota; Metazoa; Chordata; Aves; Galliformes; Phasianidae.
CGGGGACAUUUUGGGGUCGCAGCGAAGAUUCGGAGAUGUUGGGGACGCUUUGGGGACAUUUGGGGACAAGGUGAAGGUGUGGAGAUGUCGGGGACGUUUUGGGGACAUUUGGGGACGUUUUGGGGUCAUGUGGGGACGUUGGAGGAAGCUUGGGGACUUUUUGGGGUCAUGCAGGGACGUUUUGGGGUCAUUUGGGGACGUUUUAGGGAUGUUUUGGGGUCAUUUGGGGACAUUUGGGGGACAUUUUGGGGACAUUGGUGGAACUUUGGUGACGUUGAAGGGACAUCUGCAGACAUUUGGGGACUUUUGGGGACAUUUUGGGGUCAUUUGGGGAUGUUGAGGGAAGUUUGGGGAUGUUUUGGGGUCAUUUGGGGACAUUUUGGGGACACAUGGGGACAUUUCGGGGCCCUUUGUGGACACGUGGGGACAUUUUGGGGUCAUUUGGGGACGUUUUGGGGACAUUGGAAGAAGUUUGGGGACGUUUUGGGGUCUUGUGGGGACGUUUGGGGGACGUUUUGGGGUCAUUUGGGGACGUUGGAGGAAGUUUGGGGACGUUUUGGGGAUGUUUGGGGACAUUGGAGGAAGUUUGGGGACGUUUUGGGGUCAUGUGGGGACAUUUUGGGGACAUUUGGGGACGUUUUGGGGACCUUUGGGGACGUUGAGGGAAGUUUGGGGAUGUUUUGCGGUCAUUUGGGGACAUUUUGGGGACACAUGGGGACAUUUCGGGGCCCUUUGUGGACGCGUGGUGACAUUUGGGGUCACCCUGGUGACAUUUUGGGGACAGGGCGAAGACCUGAAGACGUCGGGGACAUUUUGGGGUCGCAGCGAAAAUUCGGAGAUGUUGGG